Long non-coding RNA from Ipomoea nil (Japanese morning glory), 205 nucleotides. RefSeq lists it as uncharacterized. NCBI's taxonomy places the organism in Eukaryota, Viridiplantae, Streptophyta, Magnoliopsida, Solanales, Convolvulaceae. The transcript is spliced from 3 exons. The record is from RefSeq and is a predicted model, not a curated record.
AGUAAGGGAAAUCAGAAACUUUUAGGAUGGUGUGUUUUACAUGCUUGAAGAUAAUGAUCAAGUGUUCUCUUGUUUGUACUGAGUAGGGUCACAAAAUUAAACUCAAGUUACUAACAAGUCAUACAAAAAUUAUUGAAUUACUUUUGAAAUUGAAGAACCUUGAAAUAGAAUGUUAGGAAGUUGAAAAUAAUGUUGCAAAAGUGAU